RNAcentral lists this ribosomal RNA (468 nucleotides) under uncultured bacterium. Its description in RNAcentral is "partial 16S ribosomal RNA". It matches the Rfam family "Bacterial small subunit ribosomal RNA", at positions 28 to 507 of the family's 1533-position model. The record is from RNAcentral.
GACGAACGCUGGCGGCGUGCUUAACACAUGCAAGUCGAACGGAAAGGCCCUGCUUUUGUGGGGUGCUCGAGUGGCGAACGGGUGAGUAACACGUGAGUAACCUGCCCUUGACUUUGGGAUAACUUCAGGAAACUGGGGCUAAUACCGGAUAGGAGCUCCUGCUGCAUGGUGGGGGUUGGAAAGUUUCGGCGGUUGGGGAUGGACUCGCGGCUUAUCAGCUUGUUGGUGGGGUAGUGGCUUACCAAGGCUUUGACGGGUAGCCGGCCUGGGAGGGUGGCCGGCCACAUUGGGACUGAGAUACGGCCCAGACUCCUACGGGAGGCAGCAGUGGGGAAUAUUGCACAGUGGGCGGAAGCCUGAUGCAGCAACGCCGCGUGCGGGAUGACGGCCUUCGGGUUGUAAACCGCUUUCGCCUGUGACGAAGCGUGAGUGACGGUAAUGGGUAAAGAAGCACCGGCUAACUACGUG